This 98-nucleotide non-coding RNA is filed under the name bovine gut metagenome. Its description in RNAcentral is "TPP riboswitch (THI element)". The stretch from base 3 to 90 matches the Rfam family "TPP riboswitch aptamer (THI element)", at positions 9 to 90 of the family's 105-position model. From Rfam's summary of the family: Vitamin B(1) in its active form thiamin pyrophosphate (TPP) is an essential coenzyme that is synthesised by coupling of pyrimidine and thiazole moieties in bacteria. The previously detected thiamin-regulatory element, thi box was extended, resulting in a new, highly conserved RNA secondary structure, the THI element, which is widely distributed in eubacteria and also occurs in some archaea. Analysis of operon structures identified a large number of new candidate thiamin-regulated genes, mostly transporters, in various prokaryotic organisms. The record is from RNAcentral.
UCCAAGGGGUGCUGGCCAGAGCCGGCUGAGACGGGGCGUGUUUCGCGCCGAUCCCUCGAACCUGAUCCGGGUAAUGCCGGCGUAGGAAUGCGAUCAUA